AAUGCGCCCACUAACCCCAAUGUUUCCUUCGUUUUUUAAUCAUUUCCCUCUCUUUUUUUCCCAAACCCCUUUCUCAUUUUCAGCUAAAAACCCUCUUUCAUUUUCAAAAACAUUCCUUUAACCAAAUUCUUAACAGACCUAGCAGACAAGGGAUGAAAAUGAACAGCAUACAAAUUCCUCAAAAAUUCCUCUUCGAUUUUGCUUUCAUAGCAGCCCACUUUUAUACAAAUUCCUCUUUGAUUUUGCUCUGAUUUUGCUCUUUCAUUCUUUGAUUUUGCUUUUUUGCCUUUCUUUCAUCAUGCAUGUGGGUUUUAAGUUUAUGUUCUCAGUUAAUUUGUAUCUUUCCUUUACUGAUUUUUUCUCUUUCUUUCAUCUUGAUGUUUUUCAAUUCUCAAGAGAAAGUAGCAGAAAUUUAGUAGAAUCAGUGCAUUUUGAAGAAUGAUAUAACACUCUUUGUUGAAAUCGAGAUAACUCAUGCGGACCUUCAGAGAAGAUACAAUUGUCACUAGUUGCUUUUCCUCUCAAGGUUACAGUAAACACUCUUGCUCAGAGAAAUCCUUAUCAGUGGAUCGCUUCUGAAAGAUUCACAAGGAGAUAGCAAGAUACUUAAAGUGAAGAAAAGGGACGUGUUAAAUUUAUCUAAUGGAGAACGUAUUGUGGUUGAUUUUGACGACAUGGAUUCUCCCAUCAGUGAAGGACAAGGCAUUCUUGCAGGCUUUUGUGAAAUUUUAGCAACUGACUGCUCUAUUUUUCCAAUUCACUUUGAGAAAUGGCCGGAUUUACCUGUGACAACCUUCAACCGUUGUUAUGAUCGAUUUAUAAAGCCACGAUUUUGUUUUCGAACAACUGAGUCAAAUGCAAGACGAUAUGUUUAUAAUUCUAUGUGUAAGAAGUGGGGCUCAAGAAAGCUAAAGUUGUUUGAUAAGGUCUAUAAUCCACUUAAGAGCAGAGCCGAGAUAAUGGAAGCGUUCCACUGGGAAUUCCACCGGAUCAAUGGAUUUCUUAUGUUGAUUACCACUUUAAAGAAAAGACACAAGUAUUUAUUUCAAGAGGUUGAACCUUCGGAGGUUCCAUAAGAGAUGGCUGAGACUGGACAAAAGCCUGGACGAGGACAGCUUUAUCUCGCUAAAUGAAGAUGGAUCAUAUGUUAAUGAGGCGACAAAAGAGAUAUGUGAAAAAAUUGAACUAGCAUUGAGCCAAAGCAUCAUGGAUGAGUCUGAAAUUUCGCCAAAUGAUGUCGUUGGUAAGGUGCUGGGAAAAGAGCACUCUGGAAGGGUAAGGUGCUUGGGAUUAGGCGUUGUUCUUGGUAGAGCUUUUAGACAAACAAGACCUCGUUAUAGUGAUUUGAAUGCUUUAAGUUAUAAUAACGGUUCAUGUUCUUCCCAAUUACAAGAGAAGUACAAUCAAAUGUUGAAUGCUCACAAUCAAAGCCAAGAAAACUAUAGAGAAAUGAUGAAUGUUAACACCCAAAUAAUGAAUGCUAACACCCAAAUGAUGAACGCUUUUAAGGCGUAUAUGAUAAUGAAAGAAGGGAAGAUACCUGAAGAAUUUGCAGGGAUCUUUGUUUCUCCUCCUCAUUCAACGCCAGGUGAUGCGGCUAGCGGAUCUAUUUCCCCUAUGGAUGCAAGAAGAUCAUAUGGUGGAAGUAAUCCUAACGGCAACCAUUGAAGUUGCUUGCAAAUGUAUCUUACUCGAUUGAAUGGCCAUAGGAGAUCUUUUGUCCUUAAUUAAUAGUUGGAGUAAAUGUUCUGUUUAAAAUUAGUUUUAAGACUAACUAUAAUACUGAUGUUUUGUGUUUAAUGGAUGUAGUAGUUGUGUUUAAAGCAAGUUUUUGAGACUAAUGAUAAUUUACUUUAAUGUA
Nicotiana tabacum (common tobacco) is the source of this 1861-nucleotide non-coding RNA. The record is from RefSeq and is a predicted model, not a curated record. Lineage: Eukaryota; Viridiplantae; Streptophyta; Magnoliopsida; Solanales; Solanaceae.